GCAUCGGUGGUUCAGUGGUACAAUGCUCGCCUGCCACGCGGGCGGCCCUGUCGAUUCCCGGCCGAUGCA
Non-coding RNA from Cordylochernes scorpioides, 69 nucleotides. NCBI's taxonomy places the organism in Eukaryota, Metazoa, Arthropoda, Arachnida, Pseudoscorpiones, Chernetidae. The record is from the annotation of a GenBank genome assembly.